CCCUUAGAUGUUCUGGGCUGCACGCGCGCUACACUGAUGCGUUCAACGAGCCUUCCUUGCUCGAGAGAGCUGGGUAAUCUUCAUGAAAACGCAUCGUGAUGGGGAUAGGCGCUUGUAAUUAUUCGCCUUGAACGAGGAAUUCCUAGUAAACGCAGAUCAUCAAUCUGCAUUGAUUACGUCCCUGCCCUUUGUACACACCGCCCGUCGCGCCUACCGAUUGGAUGGUCCGGUGAAGCCUCGGGAUUGUGGUUCUUGCCGCUUUAUUGUGGCGUGACCGCGAGAACUUGUCUAAACCUUAUCAUCUAGAGGAAGGUGAAGUCGUAACA
This 326-nucleotide ribosomal RNA is filed under the name uncultured eukaryote. RNAcentral describes it as "partial 18S ribosomal RNA". It matches the Rfam family "Eukaryotic small subunit ribosomal RNA", at positions 1470 to 1796 of the family's 1831-position model. The record is from RNAcentral.